GGUUUUUAGACAUUAUUAAAAAUCAAACCUGCUCAAUGCUUAGUAAAUAGCCGCGGUAUCCUGACCGUGCAAAGGUAGCAUAAUCAUUAGCCUUAUAAUUGAAGGCUGGAAUGAAUGGUUGAACUAAAUUAUAUUGUCUCAUAAUAAUACCUUGAAAUUUAUAUUUUAGUAAAAAAGCUAAAAUAUUCUUUAGGGACAAGAAGACCCUAUUGAACUUUAUAAAAUAAAAUUAUUUUUCAUAAAAUAAUUCUUAUUUAUUUUACUGGGGCAGUAAGAAAAAUAAUUUUUCUUUAACAUUGUGAAUUAUAAUUCUUGUUAAACCAAAAACUUUUUAAAAAAAAAUAAGUUACCGUAGGGAUAACAGCGUAAUUUUUCUUUAGAGAACUUAUCAACAGAAAAGUUUGCGACCUCGAUGUUGGAUUAAGAACCCUAUUUUACGCAACAGUAAAAAAAGGAAGUCUGUUCGACUUUUAAUUUCUUCCA
RNAcentral lists this ribosomal RNA (483 nucleotides) under Diplocentrus formosus. RNAcentral's name for it is "partial 16S ribosomal RNA". It matches the Rfam family "Archaeal large subunit ribosomal RNA", at positions 1924 to 2669 of the family's 2987-position model. The record is from RNAcentral. Lineage: Eukaryota; Metazoa; Arthropoda; Arachnida; Scorpiones; Diplocentridae.